GAUGAACGCUGGCGGCGCGCCUAACACAUGCAAGUCGAACGGUUAAAGCACCUUUUAGGUGUGUAUAAAGUGGCGAACGGCUGAGUAACCCGUGGGCAACCUGCCCUCCUCUUGGGGAUAGCCUCGGGAAACCGAGGAUAAUACCCGAUACUUCAAUGUGGCCGCAUGACGACAUUGGGAAAGCUUUUGCGGAGAAGGAUGGGCCCGCGGCCUGUUAGCUUGUUGGUGGGGUAGAGGCCUACCAAGGCAAUGAUGGGUAGCUGGGUUGAGAGACCGACCAGCCAGAGUGGGACUGAGACAAGGCCCAGACUCCUACGGGAGGCAGCAGUGGGGAAUCUUGCACAAUGGGCGAAAGCCUGAUGCAGCGACGCCGCGUGCGGGACGAAGGCCUUCGGGUUGUAAACCGCUUUCAGCAGGGACGAGGCGAUAAGUGACGGUACCUGCAGAAGAAGCCCCGGCUAACUACGUG
RNAcentral lists this ribosomal RNA (469 nucleotides) under uncultured bacterium. Its description in RNAcentral is "partial 16S ribosomal RNA". It matches the Rfam family "Bacterial small subunit ribosomal RNA", at positions 28 to 507 of the family's 1533-position model. The record is from RNAcentral.